This 555-nucleotide ribosomal RNA is filed under the name uncultured bacterium. RNAcentral's name for it is "bacterial SSU rRNA". It matches the Rfam family "Bacterial small subunit ribosomal RNA", at positions 28 to 581 of the family's 1533-position model. The record is from RNAcentral.
AUUGAACGCUGGCGUCAUGCUUUACACAUGCAAGUCGAACGCGAAAGGGGGCAACCCUGAGUAGAGUGGCGCACGGGUGAGUAACGUAUCGGAACAUACCCGGUAGUGGGGGACAACCAGUCGAAAGACUGGCUAAUACCGCAUACGACCUACGGGUGAAAGCGGGGGACCGUAAGGCCUCGCGCUAUUGGAUUGGCCGAUGUCGGAUUAGCUAGUUGGUGGGGUAAAAGCCCACCAAGGCGACGAUCCGUAGCUGGUCUGAGAGGAUGACCAGCCACACUGGGACUGAGACACGGCCCAGACUCCUACGGGAGGCAGCAGUGGGGAAUUUUGCACAAUGGGGGAAACCCUGAUCCAGCCAUGCCGCGUGAGUGAAGAAGGCCUUCGGGUUGUAAAGUUCUUUCGGCCGGGAGGAAAUCGCCCUGGUUAAUAUCCACGGUGGAUGACGGUACCGGAAGAAGAAGCACCGGCUAACUACGUGCCAGCAGCCGCGGUAAUACGGAGGGUGCCAGCGUUAAUCGGAAUUACUGGGCGUAAAGCGUGCGCCGGCGGUUU